Molecule: ribosomal RNA, 1114 nt
Filed under: uncultured cyanobacterium
Lineage: Bacteria; Bacillati; Cyanobacteriota
Description: bacterial SSU rRNA
Rfam family: Bacterial small subunit ribosomal RNA
Source: RNAcentral
GAACAAUACCGCGUGAGGGAGGAAGGCCUUUGGGUUGUAAACCUCUUUUCUGGGGGAAGAAGCAAGUGACGGUACCCCAGGAAUCAGCAUCGGCUAACUCCGUGCCAGCCGCCGCGGUAAUACGGAGGAUGCACGCGUUAUCCGGAAUUAUUGGGCGUAAAGCGUCCGCAUGUGGUCCAUCAAGUCUGCUGUCAAAGACCGGAGCUCAACUCCGGGCAGGCAGUGGAAACUGGUGAACUAGAGUACGGUAGGGGUAGAGGGAAUUCCCAGUGUAGCGGUGAAAUGCGUAGAGAUUGGGAAGAACACCUGUGGCGAAGGCGCUCUACUGGGCCGUAACUGACGCUCAGGGACUAAAGCUAGGGGAGCGAAAGGGAUUAGAUACCCCUGUUUUCCUAGCUGUAAACGAUGGAUACUAGGCGUUGCUUGUAUCGACCCGAGCAGUGCCGUAGCUAACGCGUUAAGUAUCCCGCCUGGAGUACGCACGCAWGUGUGAAACUCAAAGGAAUUGACGGGGGCCCGCACAAGCGGUGGAGUAUGUGGUUUAAUUCGAUGCAACGCGAAGAACCUUACCAGGGGCUUGACAUGUCCGGAAUCUCGGGGAAACUCGAGAGUGCCUUCGGGAGUCGGAACACAGGUGGUGCAUGGCUGUCGUCAGCUCGUGUCGUGAGAUGUUGGGUUAAGUCCCGCAACGAGCGCAACCCUCGUCCUUAGUUGCCAGCCUUAAGUGGGGCACUCUAGGGAGACUGCCGGUGACAAACCGGAGGAAGGUGGGGAUGACGUCAAGUCAGCAUGCCCCUUACGUCCUGGGCGACACACGUACUACAAUGGUCGGGACAAAGGGCAGYGAACUCGCGAGAGUAAGCGAAUCUCAGCAAACCCGGCCUCAGUUCAGAUUGCAGGCUGCAACUCGCCUGCAUGAAGGAGGAAUCGCUAGUAAUCGCAGGUCAGCAUACUGCGGUGAAUUCGUUCCCGGGCCUUGUACACACCGCCCGUCACACUAUGGAAGCUGGCCACGCCCGAAGUCGUUACCCUAACCCUUAGGGGAGGGGGACGCCGAAGGCAGGGCUAGUGACUGGGGUGAAGUCGUAACAAGGUAGCCGUACCGGAAGGUGUG